UGUAGUUACAGCAUCUACCGUAAGGGAUUAAAUGGGUCACACUAACCAGCCAAACGCUGCCCCUUUGGUUAUGAAUAAAUCUUUUUCAAACCCAAAAUAAAUGGACACCAGUAACUUAUUUGCAUCCACUCUGUGUUGCCUAAUCCUUUGAAAUCCCUCUUGAAGCCAAUGCUGUGGCAAACAGUAUGACAAGAAAAGCACUUUUCUGCAUCAGAGUAGCUCACCCUUUGUCUACUGUGUAUCAGGACUUUAGAUUCUGUGUGUCAUCUGAGGCUGAAUAUGAAACACAUAACAUAUUUGCUUCUGUAUUCCCUGGAUUUGGACCUAAAGAAAAAGAGAAAGGAGAAGAAAAAAAAAUAAAAAAUGCCAGUGAAUAUUUUGAGUGUGUAUGGAUCCUGUAAAUGCUUUAUUCAGAAUGUAAAGUUUAUUUCUCCACAAUAUUGAUAUGUGUACAUAAUAUCUGUGAU
Molecule: long non-coding RNA, 467 nt
Organism: Sinocyclocheilus anshuiensis
Lineage: Eukaryota; Metazoa; Chordata; Actinopteri; Cypriniformes; Cyprinidae
Exons: 3
Source: RefSeq, a predicted model, not a curated record